Long non-coding RNA from Octopus sinensis (East Asian common octopus), 131 nucleotides. RefSeq lists it as uncharacterized. The record is from RefSeq and is a predicted model, not a curated record. Lineage: Eukaryota; Metazoa; Mollusca; Cephalopoda; Octopoda; Octopodidae. The transcript is spliced from 3 exons.
ACAAUCUGAAAAUUGUAUGAUGCCUGUUACCCCCGACUGGCUCCUGUGCUGGUGGCAUGUAAAAAACACUAUGUGAACGUGAUCAAUGCUGGGCCUGUCUGACUGGCUCCUGUGCCGGUGGCACGUAAAAA